GGUGACAGAAUAUGUGAUAGAUUUAAGUUCUAUUUAUAGCUUUUUAGCUCCUUAAAA
RNAcentral lists this transfer RNA (57 nucleotides) under Corophium volutator. RNAcentral describes it as "tRNA-Leu". The record is from RNAcentral. Lineage: Eukaryota; Metazoa; Arthropoda; Malacostraca; Amphipoda; Corophiidae.